Molecule: long non-coding RNA, 1104 nt
Filed under: Homo sapiens (human)
Lineage: Eukaryota; Metazoa; Chordata; Mammalia; Primates; Hominidae
Description: non-protein coding lnc-DKK2-1:1
Source: RNAcentral
ACCUAAGUGGUGGACAACAAAUCCCAUUAUGCUAACAUCCAUUAUGGACACUAAACAGUUUGAUCAUUUAUUUUUUUUAAUCAGCACAUAUUAAUUACUAUUUUUAUGGCUAAUCAGACAGAUGAAAUAAAACAUCUGUCUUGACCUAAAUUCUUCCUUGUAAGAAGGGCUGCUUGGUGAAUUUGAAUUAUCUAUUUCAUGAAGAAAUGUAUCAAGUUACGUAUCGGGGUGAUUCUUAGAUACUAAUAGUAUUAUCACUGAAAUAUAUUUUAACUCUAUAUCACAUCACAAUGAAUAACAUGCUAUUUGAAGAGUUACCAUUUCCAAACAAUAUUGAAAUUAAAUGCUCAGGCUUUUAGUCCACUUAGCUGGCUUGCAGACAGCUGUUUUAUCCCUGUGUCUGUCCUCUCAUGGCUUCUUCUCUGUGUAUGUGCAGAGAGGGAACAACAGAAACAGAGACAGAGUGCUCUGGUGUCUCCCCUUCUGCUAAGGACACCAGUCCUGUUGGAAUAGGGCACCACCCCUGUGACUGCAUUUAAACUUUAUUACAGCAUCUCCCUAAAGAUCCUGUCAUCAAAUAGGUGGCUAGGCUUCAACUUAUGAAUUUUGGGAGGCCACGAUUCAGCACAUAAUAAAAGUCAUCUGGAAAGAGGUCAGACGUUUCUAAUUUUUUAGUCAUUGACAAGGGGAGAUAUGAUCCUAAGAGAAAAAAUACAAAUUUGAAAAACAAAUACUUUAUGUGGCCAAUGAGAGAUGUGCUUUGUCAGAAAUACUCCUUAAUCUCUAUAACACAGACAUUCAAGAAAUGGGAAUUCCAAAAACUAUGACCUAUCCUAAGCAGAACAUAUAUGAAGAAAUGCAGCCACAUUAUUAAGGGCCUAAAUUUGUCAUGAGAUAAUUUACAUUUCCCAGGAUUCCUGAAUAGAUACACUCAGAAGUUUGAAGUCUCACUCUGACGGAAUAUGAUGUUUCUCUUAUGCUGCUUGAAAACUCAAUUACUUAUGUCUGAGAAGACAGAAAACCGAUACCAGAGACAUAUUGCAACUAAGGGAAGAUAAUAAAGAAAACAGACAUAGCCUUUGUGAAGAGACAUUUGAUAUUUAG